This 132-nucleotide small RNA is filed under the name Flavobacterium psychrophilum. Its description in RNAcentral is "RtT RNA". It matches the Rfam family "RtT RNA". From Rfam's summary of the family: This family represents a bacterial cis-regulatory element known as RtT RNA. The exact function of RtT is unknown although it is thought that it may be involved in changing the cellular response in relation to amino acid starvation. Lineage: Bacteria; Pseudomonadati; Bacteroidota; Flavobacteriia; Flavobacteriales; Flavobacteriaceae. The record is from RNAcentral.
GUUUGCACUUGUCGGGGAAGGGUGAGAACCUUCGAUUAAGGUUCGACUCGAGCGAAAGCGAGAGAACGUUGCCAACGGCAACGGCCCGUAGGGUGAUGAUCGAAGCGACGAAUAAUCCUUCCCCCACCACCA